This is a long non-coding RNA of Falco peregrinus (peregrine falcon), 2206 nucleotides long. RefSeq lists it as uncharacterized. The record is from RefSeq and is a predicted model, not a curated record. The transcript has 3 exons. Lineage: Eukaryota; Metazoa; Chordata; Aves; Falconiformes; Falconidae.
AGAGCAUGCUGCCGUGCCCCCCUCCAAGCCCACAGGCUUUCCCUGGCUUCCCUUUGCGGGGCUGGCGGGGAAAUCCACCUAAAGCUGGGCUGAAAAUCAGGGAGAGGUGGCGGAACAGCGGUUGGAAGAGUUUGUUCCAGGAAAAACUUCUUUCCCAUGGACUUUUCACUUUUUUUGGCCAGUGAAAAAGAUGUUGGGGUGAAUUUAUGUGCGUUUUCCUACGAAACAGCAAAUUCAAGGCCUCCUGUGUCAUCCUUAUAUUUUCCAGCUGACUUGAGACUAAAGAGAUCUUCUUGAAUACUAGCCAUGCCGAGCCCAGCUGUGAUGGCUGCACAAGUGACCCAGGUGCCUGCUAGUACAGAUGGUGCUGGUGCAGGUUUCGAGCAGGCAAAACAGUUCCAGUUCUGCCUGUAGUUCCUCCGUGACCAUGCUUCCUACUUCCCCAAAACCUAGCUCCAUCAACUCUGUCUCAGCUCUUUAAUCCAACCCCGUUCUGCCAGCAGAGAACCUGGCACAGCUCAGCUGCCACCCCCUCUCAUGCCCCCCCACACUGCUUCCCAGCCCUGGGGAUGCCCCAUGCUUGCACAUCUGGGCAUCCUUGCACGCUUGAAGUGGCCCAGGCAGCCUGCAAGCUUGCAGGCAGGUUCCAGCUCAGAAAUGCAGUGAGUUCUGCAUCUCCAGAGCACGCUGAUCUGGCAGAGGGUAGCUGAGCUAUCCUGAAGCCUGGUUAACCAUUUUCCAAUUGCAUGGAGGUAAACUGGAAAGCAACAGCGAGUUGCUUGGGAGUUAUGCUGAAGCAUGAGAGCGAUCCUCCCACGCAAGCCCAACCCUUAUUUGAGAUGGGGGCAUGUGGGUGGGAAAAUCUGACCCCAAUAUUCUCCUGAGGAACCUAUGGCUGGAGGAAGCCCCAACAUCUCCUGGGGUGACCAAUAACCAGGUUCAAAAAGUCAUCAAUCAGGAUACUGAAGAAAGAUGGCACAGCUUUCCAGAAAGACCAAGCCAGAGCAGGAUUUUGGCUGCAGAGCACUGAGAUGAUUUAGGAGGUAAAACACUUGAGUUUGUGUCAAAUUUCCCUUUCCUCUGCUCCCCAGCACCCACCCGGUUGCCUGUUAUUCUCCAGCCCUCCCUUGCUGCUCCCACCCCACUCCAAGCCACCGUCACCUCGUUGCUCAUUGUGGCACUGGCCGGGGUGACGACAGGCAGGCUUCGCACAUGCCGAGGGGCUGCACAGCGAGUGCUCAGCAGGUCAAAGCCCCCCUCAGCCACCUCCCCAUCCCUGGAGGGGCUCCCUUUCGCCUGCAGGGCAAGGGACUGCACCUUGGGGAUGCUGCCUCCUCCCAAGUACCCACCUCCUACCUUCUCCUGGGCAUUUCAUGGUAGCCACAGUGGUGUAAAAAACUAAAAACAGCGUCAACAAUGUGCAAACAGGUGUUUCCUAUAUAUGCAUAUGUGUACAUAUACAUACACAUAUAUCCCUGACGUGGCACUGAAACUACUUGCUGUUUUCUGUUACAAAAGCUUCAGUUUUGCCUCGAGGCACUUGCGAAAACAAGUCCGUGAUACACAUUACAGACAGAUACCACCACAGAAAUCUCCCCUCCUGCAGCUGUAGCGACUUUUUCCCUUGUAAACAUAUCAAGUUGAGAUCAAAAUUCGCUCCCUCCAAAUGAAUUCCUGCGUCUCCACUAGCUGCAUAUUUGUGGCUGUUUAGUAUUCCCAAUUUAGGCAUUGGCAGAAACAAAGAAUAAGUGAGUAUAAGAACACAUAUGCUGAGAAAUGCAGUGCUGAAGGGUAUCCCACCCUUAAUUUAAAUAGUAGAACUAAAAUAUCUCAUGUGUGUGUGUGUGUACACACAUAUGCACAUAUGUCAUGGUACUUAAGCAAACAUUAGAUCCACAGACCACUGAGCAUUUGCUUCUCCUAUGUCACAUUUGGAAAAGUGCUAAUGCCUUAUGGGAAAUGUGGAAAAAAAUGUAAAUAUUUUGUUCCAACGCAACAUAGCUUACCACUGCGCUUUUCUGACUUUCUCCUCCCUUGCAGCAAACAGCGAGCAAAUAAUGCUCCGAAUGCUUCUGCUUUCUCCACGUAUAAACUAAUUCUGCCCCUCUGAACCAGCCUAACUGGGAGCAGGUUUUUUCCAGGUGUGUUUUUCAUGCUCUACAAACCAUCAAAUUCAUCAAUUCAUAAAAAAAACCAAAAACCAAAA